GAAGGUAGGCCCUUCGGAGUCGUCCUGCGGGGGAAGGCUCCAAACCACCUCAUGCUGCGUUGGGUUGAAGACCGUCGUGGUGAGCGAUGAGGAAAAGGCGCCCAAGAGGUGUCAGGU
Streptomyces sp. WAC00263 is the source of this 117-nucleotide non-coding RNA. NCBI's taxonomy places the organism in Bacteria, Bacillati, Actinomycetota, Actinomycetes, Kitasatosporales, Streptomycetaceae. The record is from Rfam.